Molecule: transfer RNA, 60 nt
Filed under: Ovis aries (sheep)
Lineage: Eukaryota; Metazoa; Chordata; Mammalia; Artiodactyla; Bovidae
Rfam family: tRNA
About the family: Transfer RNA (tRNA) molecules are approximately 80 nucleotides in length. Their secondary structure includes four short double-helical elements and three loops (D, anti-codon, and T loops).
Source: Rfam by way of RNAcentral
UGGCUUAGAGGAAAAAGCGUCUGCCUGCAAUGCAGGAAGGGACCCAGGUUCGAUCCCUGG